This 213-nucleotide long non-coding RNA is filed under the name Dermacentor andersoni. Its description in RNAcentral is "uncharacterized LOC126544171". The record is from RNAcentral. Lineage: Eukaryota; Metazoa; Arthropoda; Arachnida; Ixodida; Ixodidae.
AGAGUUCGUUAUAUUACACUCGCCUGAACUUGACAAAGGAACACAUGCAUGCAGCGGACAAGGCCAUGGCUUGUGCUUGGAAGGUUGUUGGUAACUCCACUACCUACAUUCAAGCGCUCGACGAUGCUGCUGCGCUUGUACGCCACGCUGCUUUGAAUUUUGGGUGGACCUGAACGAAUAAAACGUCGCGUAGAAAGUGCGCUCCAUUUGCUG